AACUGAGCACUUUUAUCCAUAAACAAAGUGAUCAUGGAAGUUAAAAAUCCUGUGGCAUCUACAAAACACUGCACCUAGCAGGACCAGUGCCACGGUCCUGCAUACACAGAUGGCAAUUGUGUAUCCUGACAGCCAACAGAGAAGGGCAGAGAUGGAGCACUUAAAACAGCAUCAAAACCAACUACUGUGGAAUAAAUUUAACAAAAGGUGUGUUAGUAGUGAUCCACAGAAAACUAGAAGCCCCCGUGAACCCCAAGCUCGUGAACCAGGGCUCACCUGUGACCCAACCUUCUCUCCAGGCUGAUCUUUCCUCUUGGCACAAUCUCAGAGUCCCAGCAGCGCUUUUUGGAAAUUGACAGUGAUUCUGAAGUUUACAUGGAAACACAAAGGGCCUGGAAUGGCCAAGAUUGCCUUGAGGAAGAACAACAAAGGUCGGGGACACGCCUGGAUUUGGAGACUUACUCUAAAGCCGGGGUGUUUCGGACAGUGUCCUGUUGGUGAAAGACAGACGAAUAGAUGACAGGACACACAGUUGAGAACCGAGCCACAUGCGCUCGCCAGAUGUGCCAUUUCGAGAGGGAAAGGCGAGUCUCGGCAACAAGGAUGCCAGGACAGCUGGGCAGUGAGUGGCCAGGGACCCGCAUCAUAGCUUGGACAGAGCUGAUUUGAGGUGGGCCACAGAUAGACUUUGAAAGAAAAAUGUUUACAGCUGCCUUAAACAUUAAGAAGACUGGAAAGCAAAGUUAUUCUUGCAAGAUGGUGUGUCGUUUAGCAGAGGCAUUUCAGGGCGCCUGGAGGAGCCCGGACAGAAGGGCCCGGCGUCUGCCCAGGUGGGGCCCACGUGCCUCUCCUCGCCUCAGACUCACCUGUGCGCCCGCGCCCACCAGGAGCAGGACGCC
Odocoileus virginianus texanus is the source of this 899-nucleotide non-coding RNA. NCBI's taxonomy places the organism in Eukaryota, Metazoa, Chordata, Mammalia, Artiodactyla, Cervidae. The record is from RefSeq and is a predicted model, not a curated record.